GUUUAACAAAAAAUGAAAAGUAAUUUUUCAAUCAUUAGAGAAACAGAUUCAUACAUACUGUGAAAGUACUUGUAUUCGUGGGGUACCAAUUUUCGUGGUUUUCAUGGAUGACUUUAUCCACCAAUUUAAGUGUCCAACGAAAUAAAACAACCAUUGUCCAAAUCAAGACAUGGAAAGAUCCCCAUCGGUAGGUUUGACUACUGAUAUGAUUUAGAGAAUAUAUUGAAUAACGCCAAAUUUGAGAAUACUUUAAUAGCAGCCACAGAACUACAACCGCAUGCAGGAUUAUACCCAUUUAAUCUUUAACAACCUAAACUGUACAACUUUUGAUCCUUUAAUUCUCAUAAAAAAAUAUUUUGAUCGAUGAAAGUCAGAUUUCUGGUAUUGAUAUGCUAGUAUGAUAAAGUGUUCAUUUUAUAUCCUCAUAGUUCUCGCACAUAUGGGAAAUAAUAAUUUCAUGCUGGGCUUGAUUUUGAUAUGAAUUAUUUGACAAUUAAAGAUACGUUUAUAGCAUUUGUUUAUGCUACUGUUUUCUUUAGGUGACAUGUUUAUGGCCUAAUUAACACCUUUGAUGGUCUUUAAUCUGUGUAUCACUUUAUCAUGUUAAAAUACACUACGAUUUACACGGGUCAAAGUUUAC
RNAcentral lists this long non-coding RNA (640 nucleotides) under Mytilus galloprovincialis (Mediterranean mussel). Lineage: Eukaryota; Metazoa; Mollusca; Bivalvia; Mytilida; Mytilidae. The record is from RNAcentral.